UUCAUCGUGAGGUGAAAUCUGAAGGAAGCCGGAAGCAAAAUGCUGGCCUGACGAACAGGAAGCGGUUGAGGCGGCAUGGCAGGGAAAGUUAGGGCAAGAGAUAUAAAUCCCAUUCUGUGAUCUGAUAAACAAAUCAAAUUUUAGCGAUUAUAACGUAGUUAUGUCUAUUAAAAUAGCCAGUAAUACUGUU
This is a non-coding RNA of Shimwellia blattae, 190 nucleotides long. The record is from Rfam. Lineage: Bacteria; Pseudomonadati; Pseudomonadota; Gammaproteobacteria; Enterobacterales; Enterobacteriaceae.